AACGAACGCUGGCGGCGCGUUUUAAGCAUGCAAGUCGAACGGUAGGAAUCCUUCGGGAUUCUGAGAGUGGCGAACGGGUGAGUAACACGUAGAUGAUCUGCCUUGAAGUUGGGGAUAGCCCAUAGAAAUAUGGGGUAAUACCGAAUAAUCUCUUUUUGCUUUGGUGAAUAGAGGAAAGGGGCUUCGGCCUCGCUUUGAGAUGAGUCUGCGGCUGAUUAGCUUGUUGGUAGGGUAAUGGCCUACCAAGGCGACGAUCAGUAGCCGGCCUGAGAGGGUGACCGGCCACAUUGGGACUGAGACACGGCCCAAACUCCUACGGGAGGCAGCAGCUAAGAAUCUUCCGCAAUGGGCGCAAGCCUGACGGAGCGACGCCGCGUGGACGAAGAAUGCCGAGAGGUUGUAAAGUCCUUUUAUCUGCGAAGAAUAAUGUCUGUAGGUAAUGACAGACAGAUGACGUUAGCUUAUGAAUAAGCUCCGGCCAAUUACGUGCCAGCAGCCGCGGUAACACGUAAGGAGCCAGCGUUGUUCGGAAUUAUUGGGCGUAAAGGGCGCGUAGGCGGCUCUUCAAGUCAAAGGUGAAAUCCCUCGGC
This 590-nucleotide ribosomal RNA is filed under the name uncultured Spirochaetales bacterium. RNAcentral's name for it is "bacterial SSU rRNA". It matches the Rfam family "Bacterial small subunit ribosomal RNA", at positions 28 to 608 of the family's 1533-position model. The record is from RNAcentral. Lineage: Bacteria; Pseudomonadati; Spirochaetota; Spirochaetia; Spirochaetales.